ACGAAAUGAUGUUGAUCAAACAUCUGACCUGAAAUGAGCGUGUAGACAGAUUUAAUGCUUAAGAA
This 65-nucleotide small nucleolar RNA is filed under the name Dasypus novemcinctus (nine-banded armadillo). Lineage: Eukaryota; Metazoa; Chordata; Mammalia; Cingulata; Dasypodidae. The record is from RNAcentral.